RNAcentral lists this ribosomal RNA (436 nucleotides) under uncultured bacterium. Its description in RNAcentral is "bacterial SSU rRNA". It matches the Rfam family "Bacterial small subunit ribosomal RNA", at positions 954 to 1392 of the family's 1533-position model. The record is from RNAcentral.
GCUUAACGCGAAGAACCUUACCAGGGCUUGAAUGCAUUAUGACAGGGGUGGAGACACCUUUUCCUUCGGGCAUUUUGCAAGGUGCUGCAUGGUUGUCGUCAGCUCGUGCCGUGAGGUGUCAGGUUAAGUCCUAUAACGAGCGCAACCCCUACCGCUAGUUGCCAGCGGGUCAUGCCGGGGACUCUAGCGGGACUGCCGGUGCAAACCGUGAGGAAGGUGGGGAUGACGUCAAAUCAUCACGGCCCUUACGUCCUGGGCCACACACGUGCUACAAUGGCCGGUACAGAGAGCGGCCACGCCGCAAGGCGGAGCGAAUCUACAAAGCCGGUCACAGUUCGGAUCGGGGUCUGCAACCCGACCCCGUGAAGCUGGAAUCGCUAGUAAUCGGAUAUCAGCCAUGAUCCGGUGAAUACGUUCCCGGGUCUUGUACACACCG